UGUAUUUCUUUGUGUUGUAAAUAUACCAAUUACGAGUAAUGUACCAAUAACGAAACGAAUCAAAACAUGUAUCAACAUGGGUAUUUGUUUUCAUUAUUAUAUACAACCGUUACCUACUGUAUACAUACAACACCCGCACGCCGCAAGGUACAAAAACCUGUUGUAAUGUUGGUUGUAUCCAUCUCCAACCAAGCAAUUCCUGGUGUAACCACAGGAAAAGAUUUUGAGGCCUUCACAACGACCAGGAGCCAGCAUACAGUAUGAAAGACCUGAAUCCAACAAAAACGAAAGAUCAUAUAAACUAAUACAAGUAGGGUUCAUCUGUAUACCGUUCAUGGCUCAUUUAAGAAGUGGUACAGGUGAAACUCAUUUAGUAAAAUCAGUGUUUGCAAUUGUACUAAAAGGUUGUUCUUGGGACACCCUGUUGAAACCCCGAAUCGGUUCAACCAUUACCUCAACUGCUGUCACUCAACUACUUCAGAAUCUCUCACAAACUGGAUCUUCUUCUUUGAUCUCUUGGAAUUUCUUCAAAUGGGUCGAGUUAAACCCUGAUUACAAGCACUCAUUACAAUCAUCUUGGACCAUGAUUCAUAUUCUAACAAAACAAAGACAUUUUAAAAGUGCACACCAACUGCUCGACAAAAUUGCUCUGAGAGACUUUUUAUCUUCACCCACGGUUUUGAAUGCGUUGGCGACUAACACUGAUGAUCAAGAUGUGAAUUCUCAUGUUUUGAGCUGGUUAGUGAUAUUCUACGCGAAUUCGAAGAUGACCCAUGAUGCAAUUCAAGUCUUUGAGCAUAUGAGGGUUCAUGGUUUAACACCACAUUUGCCUGCUUGCACUGUUCUGUUGAAUAUGUUGGUUAAAGAGAGGCUGACUGAUACAGUGUGGAAGUUUUAUAAGAAAAUGGUUAAGAUCGGGGUGGUUCCAAAUCUGCAUAUAUACAAUGUCUUGAUUCAUGCUUGUUGCAAGUCUUUGGAUGUGGAGAAAGCAGAAGAAUUGUUGAGUGAAAUGGAGUUUAAAUCUGUUUCUCCUGAUCUUUUCACUUACAAUACGUUGAUAUCGUUGUAUUGCAAGAAAGGUAUGCAUUACGAGGCUUUGUGUAUUCAAGAUAGAAUGGACAAAUCAGGUAUUCAUCCCGACAUUAUAACGUAUAAUUCAUUGAUUCAUGGGUACUGUAAACAAGGUCGAAUGAGGGAAGCGUUAAGAAUGUUCAAGGAAAUUAAAGGCGUUACUCCGAAUCAUGUUACGUACACGACUUUGAUCGAUGGUUAUUGUAGAGUGAACAGUUACAGUGAAGCGAUGUGCUUGCGUGAGGAAAUGGAAGCUAAAGGCUUGUGUCCCGGCACGGUUACUUAUAACACGAUUUUAAGAAAAUUAUGCGAAGAGGGUAGGAUAAAGGACGCUAACAAAUUGUUGAAUGAAAUGAGUGGGAGAAAGGUCGUACCCGAUAACAUCACAUGUAACACGCUCAUUAACGCUUAUUGCAAAAUCGGAGAUAUGAAAUCUGCGUUAAGAGUUAGAGGUACAAUGUUGAGUGCAGGGUUGAAGCCGGAUUCGUUUACUUACAAGGCGUUAAUUCAUGGGUUUUGUAGGGCUCGAGAUGUUGAAAAUGCUAAAGAGAUUGUUUUUUCAAUGAUUAAUGAUGGAUUUUCUCCGAAUUAUUGCACUUACUCAUGGCUGGUGGAUCUUUACUGCAACCAAAACAAUGAAGAGAUGUUGGUGAAGUUGCCCGAUGAGUUUUAUCAGAAGGGUAUAAUCGUUGAUAUUUCGGUUUAUAGGGCACUAAUCAGGAGAUUAUGCAAGGUAGAGAGAGUUGUGUAUGCCCAAAGAUUGUAUGAUAUUAUGUUGAGUAAAGGGAUAUCGGGAGAUAGUGUUGUAUUCACUAGUUUGGCGUAUGCUUACCUGAAAGAAGGUGACACAAGUAUUGGUUUGAAGAUAUUUGACGAGAUGUAUAAGAAGAGGUUGAUGAUCACGAACAAAAUUCAUAAAAGUUUCACCGCUAGUUAUGCUAGCGACAAGCACGUUUUAGGAACCUUUUGGAAUCUCGCUGUUGAAAGAGGCUUAAUUUCAAGAAGUACCUUGAAACAGAUUUAUCGGGCUGAAGAUAAUGCUUAAGAAACGUAUCCUGCAAAACUAUGGAGUUUACACUUAAAAAUGCAAGUAUUCUUAAUCAUAAAGUACACGAAUCUAAAGAGUGAAGCAGAACAGGCAACUGCCCAGGCUAAGGCCGAAGCUCAGGAAAAGACCAGUCAGCUGAUGGAGCAAGCCAGCAAUGCUGCACAGUCCGCCCAAGAGUCGAUGCAGCAGGCUGGCCAGCAAAUUAAGGAAAAGGCACAAGUAGCAACCGAGGCAGUGAAGAACGCAACCGGGAUGAACAAGUGAACCCCAUGGAUCAAGUUUUAUCAACCACCAUCGUUUCUUUUGACCAGAACCUGUUUACAAUUCUUUACAAAAUUUUAUAUUAUUUUUUAUAAUUCCGUUC
Helianthus annuus (common sunflower) is the source of this 2483-nucleotide RNA transcript. It is a transcript of the gene named pentatricopeptide repeat-containing protein At5g38730, with no coding region annotated. Lineage: Eukaryota; Viridiplantae; Streptophyta; Magnoliopsida; Asterales; Asteraceae. The transcript has 5 exons. The record is from RefSeq and is a predicted model, not a curated record.